GACAUAUCAGCCAGAAAGCCUAACGAAGCAUUAUAUCCAAGUGGAAGAGCUACCAGAACUGAUCUUUUAUGAUCAGGUCUGUUGUAUAUCUUUUUCCCCUUGUGCUGCAUCUCCUAAAACAGUAAAGCCACGAUAUCAGCUGGCUGGAUGAGAGUGUUCUAGAUUUUGCAUUGAUUUGGAACACCUAUCCAUUCAAAGCAUUGAUGGACACUAAUUUCAACUCAAGGAUCACUCCCAGCCCUUUGAAAUAUAUCUGUUGUAGCCAUUGAUUAGAAGUGAUGCAGUUGUGCCUAUGAUCACUGCCAUUCAUGUUCCUGCAACUUGCAACAUGGACAUUUCUCCAUCUCACUUAGAUGGAUCAUUAGUCUCCAUGGAUGAAUCUAUGUCAACUUCUGACACAGUGAGAACUCCUGAGAUCGAAUACAUAGAUGACCAUGAAUUGUGGACUUGGAAUCAGGGGAUAAAAUUGUCAACAUUGAUAAAUUAUGCGCUACAAUGGGCCUGUGAGGAAGGAGAGCAAGGGCAGUUGCCUGUCUUGGUAUUAAGCAGGAAGGAAACCGAUAAGAAAAAGAGGCCAGUUUUUGUCUUCCUGUAUGGUACAAACAAAUGUAAAGAGUGGUUACGGCCAUUACUAUAGGUGAUAUUCUGUUUUCUUAAAAGUACUCUCCAUACUACCAUCGAGCAGAAGCAAUGAACGACAAUUCUAUGUAUGAUGGGUACCUCGAGCCUCCGGAGGGUUGGGGGGCUCGGAGCACAUGCCUCGAGCGUCCCGGGACCUAAUGGAGUGAUGGAGCGUCUUUGUUGUAUUUUGAGCUUUGUUGUAGAUCGAUUAUAAAGGAUAGUAGAUUGGUUGCUUGUCUAAGUUAUAAAGGACAGUAGAUCGGUUACUUGUCUAAAUCUUUAGGUUGAGUUGGAUUAACUAGUUAGUUGAAUCAUCUAUAUUUUAGUCAAGCCUCUUUACAUCAUUGUUUUGAUGUUCUCUUGGGUAGAGUUGCCUAGGAGUGCCAACUUGAUGUGUGGGUGUAACAUAGUUGCUGCUUGUUUAUGCUCUUAUCUUUGAGAUCUGAGUUGGUGGCUAGACUUAGCCUUGUUGGAUUCUUGAAGUCUAGAUCUACUAGAGUUAGUUGGUUUAGUGGCAAUAGAGUUAUUGCUUAGUUUUUUUGCUUGUAGUAGAGUUGUUAAAACAAGGGGGAAUGGAUUAAAGUGUUUUUAAUUCCUAUGUUACAAACUAGAGUUUGUAAUCUAAAGCUUUGCUCUGCUUUGAGUGAAAUGGAGUUCGGUUGGAAAUUCUUCUGUGAGUAUAGGUUGUGGUUUUCUCCUCCCUUGAGCAAGAGAGUUUCCACGUAAAAAUAUCUUGUGUCUGAUUUACUUUGAACUAUUUAUUUUCUGCACUAUUACUUGUUGAGGGACUUGUCCAGUGAUUACUAGUGGACACAUCUAUUCUAUCAAUUAGUAUCCGAACUUGGGCUCUCUAUCUGGUUAACACCAAGAGAGAAUCCUGUAGAAAAGAUGGUUGCUCCACUACACUUGGAAGAGAGUCGAUUUAAUGGUAUAUUCUACAAUGGGCGUUCAAAUAGAUGAGAACAUGGCCUACCUCACUCGAAGAUUUCAAAAAGUCAUGAGAAAACAUAGAGGUCACAUGAAGAAAGGAAACCUUGACAAGGUUACAAACUCAAAUGACUUGUGUCACAAGUUUGGUAAAUCAAUUCACUUCAUCAGAGACUGGCACAAGGUUGAACACAAGGAAUAUGUCAAGUCUGGAGGAAACAAUGACAAAAGAAGGGACCAGGUCGCUAACAAGUCAAGCAAAAGAGAAAUGACUGAUUAUGUGGUGAAGUAAGCUCCAGCCAUCUGGGGAAAUACCUCAAGUAAUUCAAAUUAUUUUGAAUACCCUCAUGGUGCUUCCAUGUUCGUAGUAAAAGAAGACAAAUAAAUAUUUGAUUUUGUGUUCGCCUUUAUGGCAAAAUCGGAAGAGGAUGAUGAUAAUGAAGAGGUAACCCUAUUUGACUUCAAGCAAAAUGUGAAUAUUUUUAUACUAAUUGA
Solanum stenotomum is the source of this 2043-nucleotide long non-coding RNA. RefSeq lists it as uncharacterized. NCBI's taxonomy places the organism in Eukaryota, Viridiplantae, Streptophyta, Magnoliopsida, Solanales, Solanaceae. The record is from RefSeq and is a predicted model, not a curated record. The transcript is spliced from 3 exons.